AUUGAACGCUGGCGGCAGGCCUAACACAUGCAAGUCGAACGAGUGGCGGACGGGUGAGUAAUGUCUGGGAAACUGCCCGAUGGUGGGGGAUAACUACUGGAAAGGGUAGCUAAUACCGCAUACCAUUGGAUGUGCCCAGAUGGGAUUAGCUAGUAGGUGGGGUAACGGCUCACCUAGGCGACGAUCCCUAGCUGGUCUGAGAGGAUGACCAUCCACACUGGAACGGAGACACGGUCCAGACUCCUACGGUAGGCAGCAGUGGGGAAUAUUGCACAAUGGGCGCAAGCCUGAUGCAGCCAUGCCGCGUGUAUGAAGAAGGCCUUCGGGUUGUAAAGUACUUUCAUCGAGGAGGCGUUACUCGCAGAAGAAGCACCGGCUAACUCCGUGCCAGCAGCCGCGGUAAUUC
Molecule: ribosomal RNA, 406 nt
Filed under: uncultured bacterium
Lineage: Bacteria
Description: partial 16S ribosomal RNA
Rfam family: Bacterial small subunit ribosomal RNA
Source: RNAcentral